AGCAGCCGCGGUAAUUCCAGCUCCAAUAGCGUAUAUUAAAGUUGUUGCAGUUAAAAAGCUCGUAGUUGAAUUUCGGGGUUAGCAGGUCGGUCGUGCCAUCGGUAUGAACUGGUCUCGCUGAUCCCUCCCUCUUGACGAACUGUGAUGCCAUUAAUUUGGUGUCGCAGGGAAUCAGGACUGUUACUUUGAAAAAAUUAGAGUGUUUAAAGCAGGCUCACGCUUGAAUACAUUAGCAUGGAAUAAUGAAAUAGGACGUUUGAUCCUAUUUUGUUGGUUUCUAGGAUUGACGUAAUGAUUAAUAGGGAUAGUUGGGGGCAUUAGUAUUCAAUUGUCAGAGGUGAAAUUCUUGGAUUUAUUGAAGACUAACUACUGCGAAAGCAUUUGCCAAGGAUGUUUUCAUUAAUCAAGAACGAAAGUUAGGGGAUCGAAGACGAUCAGAUACCGUCGUAGUCUUAACCAUAAACUAUGCCGACUAGGGAUCGGAUGAUGUUAAUUUUUUU
This 500-nucleotide unclassified non-coding RNA is filed under the name uncultured Glomus. RNAcentral describes it as "SSU rRNA". It matches the Rfam family "Eukaryotic small subunit ribosomal RNA", at positions 569 to 1073 of the family's 1831-position model. Lineage: Eukaryota; Fungi; Glomeromycota; Glomeromycetes; Glomerales; Glomeraceae. The record is from RNAcentral.